RNAcentral lists this ribosomal RNA (376 nucleotides) under uncultured bacterium. Its description in RNAcentral is "bacterial SSU rRNA". It matches the Rfam family "Bacterial small subunit ribosomal RNA", at positions 521 to 896 of the family's 1533-position model. The record is from RNAcentral.
UAAGACGAACCGUGCGAACGUUGUUCGGAAUCACUGGGCUUAAAGGGCGCGUAGGCGGGCCGCCAGGCCCGUGGUGAAAUCCCCCGGCUCAACCGGGGAAGUGCCGCGGGGACCGGCGGUCUGGAGUGAGAUAGGGGCGUGCGGAACUGUGGGUGGAGCGGUGAAAUGCGUUGAUAUCCACAGGAACUCCGGUGGCGAAGGCGGCACGCUGGAUCUCUACUGACGCUGAGGCGCGAAAGCCAGGGGAGCGAACGGGAUUAGAUACCCCGGUAGUCCUGGCCCUAAACGUUGGGGACUGGGUAGCAGGCCGGACAUGGGCUUGCUGCCGGAGCGAAAGUGUUAAGUCCCCCGCCUGGGGAGUAUGGUCGCAAGGCUG